GAUAAAUAGACUUCUUAGAAGGUCGGCACAAGGUCUGACCCACCCCACUGCCCCAGCCUGGGUUCCGGGAAACCCCUUCCUGCCCCCCUGUCUCAGGGUCUCUGAACACCCAGCUCUCCUGAGCACACGCUGUGUGCCAUCCUGGCUUUCAAGGCCCAGCUCAGGCACCUCACCAGCACCCUUUCCCCAGCCGGAAGCCCUCACACUGUCCCUCCAGCUCCCACGGGCCCGUCCAAGCUUUCUGCUGUGGCACAGGGAGAAGAGCAUGGGACAGAAAUCUGAAGAUCUGAGUCUGAUCCUGGCUGUCUCUCCAGCUGGCUUUUCGUCGUGGCUGACAAAUUCCUCCUCGAAGAGCCAACCCAAAUGCUGUCUCCUCUGACGCCUCUCGCUCUCCUCUGCGAGCCGGCCUUCCCCCGAACCCCAGCGACUCCGGGGUGCUAUCUCAAUGAUCCCAGAAGCAACAGCAUUUUGUCUCCUCCACCAGACUGUGGGUCCCGGGGAGCACAUCGCCUCCUCCUCCUCCUCCUCCUCAUCGCUGACACCCCAGUGCACUGCCAGCUGUUUGCAGACAAGAGAAGGUGUCUGUACCUGUGCUGUCCCACACCGUAGCCACCAACCCUGUGUGGUUGUUUCCAUUUAAAUCGGUGAAGAUGGGGGCGCCUGGAUGGCUCAGUCGGUUGAGCGUCCAACUUCAGCUCAGGUCA
Non-coding RNA from Puma concolor (puma), 704 nucleotides. The record is from RefSeq and is a predicted model, not a curated record. Lineage: Eukaryota; Metazoa; Chordata; Mammalia; Carnivora; Felidae.